Molecule: ribosomal RNA, 623 nt
Filed under: Agromyces sp. So3Pt_169
Lineage: Bacteria; Bacillati; Actinomycetota; Actinomycetes; Micrococcales; Microbacteriaceae
Description: bacterial SSU rRNA
Rfam family: Bacterial small subunit ribosomal RNA
Source: RNAcentral
GCAACGCCGCGUGCGGGAUGACGGCCUAAGGGUUGUAAACCGCUUUUAGUAGGGAAGAAGGGCUUCGGCUUGACGGUACCUGCAGAAAAAGGACCGGCUAACUACGUGCCAGCAGCCGCGGUAAUACGUAGGGUCCGAGCGUUGUCCGGAAUUAUUGGGCGUAAAGAGCUCGUAGGCGGUUUGUCGCGUCUGCUGUGAAAUCUGGAGGCUCAACCUCCAGCCUGCAGUGGGUACGGGCAGACUAGAGUGCGGUAGGGGAGAAUGGAAUUCCUGGUGUAGCGGUGGAAUGCGCAGAUAUCAGGAGGAACACCGAUGGCGAAGGCAGUUCUCUGGGCCGUAACUGACGCUGAGGAGCGAAAGCGUGGGGAGCGAACAGGAUUAGAUACCCUGGUAGUCCACGCCGUAAACGUUGGGCGCUAGAUGUGGGGACCUUUCCACGGUUUCCGUGUCGUAGCUAACGCAUUAAGCGCCCCGCCUGGGGAGUACGGCCGCAAGGCUAAAACUCAAAGGAAUUGACGGGGGCCCGCACAAGCGGCGGAGCAUGCGGAUUAAUUCGAUGCAACGCGAAGAACCUUACCAAGGCUUGACAUAACCGAGAACGCCGCAGAAAUGUGGAACUCUUU